CAAUAGCGUAUAUUAAAGUUGUUGCAGUUAGAACGCUCGUAGUCGGAUUUCGGGGCGGGCCGACCGGUCUGCCGAUGGGUACGCACUGGUCGGCGCGUCCUUCCUUCCGGAGACCGUUCCUACUCUUAACUGAGCGGGGGCGGGAGACGGAUCGUUUACUUUGAAAAAAUCAGAGUGUUUCAAGCAGGCAGCUCGCUCUUGCAUGGAUUAGCAUGGGAUAAUGAAAUAGGACUUUGGUGCUAUUUUGUUGGUUUCGAACACCGAAGUAAUGAUUAAAAGGGACAGUCAGGGGCACUCGUAUUCCGCCGAGAGAGGUGAAAUUCUCAGACCAGCGGAAGACGAACUACUGCGAAAGCAUUUGCCAGGGAUGUUUUCACUG
RNAcentral lists this ribosomal RNA (379 nucleotides) under uncultured eukaryote. RNAcentral describes it as "partial 18S ribosomal RNA". It matches the Rfam family "Eukaryotic small subunit ribosomal RNA", at positions 592 to 975 of the family's 1831-position model. The record is from RNAcentral.